RNAcentral lists this small RNA (496 nucleotides) under uncultured Glomus. Its description in RNAcentral is "SSU rRNA". It matches the Rfam family "Eukaryotic small subunit ribosomal RNA", at positions 569 to 1074 of the family's 1831-position model. Lineage: Eukaryota; Fungi; Glomeromycota; Glomeromycetes; Glomerales; Glomeraceae. The record is from RNAcentral.
AGCAGCCGCGGUAAUUCCAGCUCCAAUAGCGUAUAUUAAAGUUGUUGCAGUUAAAAGCUCGUAGUUGAAUUUCGGGAUCAGUAUGUUGGUCGUGCUUCGGUACGUAUUGUCAUUACUGGUUUCUACCUUCUGAAGAACCAUGAUGUCAUUAAUUUGGUGCCAUGGGGAAUCAGGACUGUUACUUUGAAAAAUUAGAGUGUUUAAAGCAGGCUCACGUUUGAAUACAUUAGCAUGGAAUAAUGAAAUAGGACGUUUGAUUCUAUUUUGUUGGUUUCUAGGAUCGACGUAAUGAUUAAUAGGGAUAGUUGGGGGCAUUAGUAUUCAAUUGUCAGAGGUGAAAUUCUUGGAUUUAUUGAAGGCUAACUACUGCGAAAGCAUUUGCCAAGGAUGUUUUCAUUAAUCAAGAACGAAGUUAGGGGAUCGAAGACGAUCAGAUACCGUCGUAGUCUUAACCAUAAACUAUGCCGACUAGGGAUCGGAUGAUGUAUUUUAAUGA